CUUUCUUUGCUGGCGACCGGCGCACGGGUGAGUAACACGUAUCCAACCUGCCCUUUACUCGGGGAUAGCCUUUCGAAGAAAGAUUAAUACCCGAUAGCAUAAUGAUUCCGCAUGGUUUCAUUAUUAAAGGAUUCCGGUAAAGGAUGGGGAUGCGUUCCAUUAGGUUGUUGGUGAGGUAACGGCUCACCAAGCCUUCGAUGGAUAGGGGUUCUGAGAGGAAGGUCCCCCACAUUGGAACUGAGACACGGUCCAA
This 253-nucleotide ribosomal RNA is filed under the name uncultured bacterium. RNAcentral's name for it is "partial 16S ribosomal RNA". It matches the Rfam family "Bacterial small subunit ribosomal RNA", at positions 79 to 334 of the family's 1533-position model. The record is from RNAcentral.